RNAcentral lists this ribosomal RNA (301 nucleotides) under uncultured bacterium. RNAcentral's name for it is "partial 16S ribosomal RNA". It matches the Rfam family "Bacterial small subunit ribosomal RNA", at positions 509 to 809 of the family's 1533-position model. The record is from RNAcentral.
CAGCCGCCGCGGUAAUACGAAGGGGGCUAGCGUUGCUCGGAUUUACUGGGCGUAAAGCGCACGUAGGCGGACUUUUAAGUCAGGGGUGAAAUCCCGGGGCUCAACCCCGGAACUGCCUUUGAUACUGGAAGUCUUGAGUAUGGUAGAGGUGAGUGGAAUUCCGAGUGUAGAGGUGAAAUUCGUAGAUAUUCGGAAGAACACCAGUGGCGAAGGCGGCUUACUGGCUCAUACUGGACGCUGAGGUGCGAAAGCGUGGGGAGCAAACAGGAUUAGAUACCCGGGUAGUCCUGUCUCUUAUACA